AAGCGUGCGCAGGCGGUUUUGUAAGACUGUCGUGAAAUCCCCGGGCUCAACCUGGGAAUGGCGAUGGUGACUGCAAGGCUAGAGUUUGGCAGAGGGGGGUAGAAUUCCACGUGUAGCAGUGAAAUGCGUAGAUAUGUGGAGGAACACCGAUGGCGAAGGCAGCCCCCUGGGGUCAAAACUGACGCUCAUGCACGAAAGCGUGGGGAGCAAACAGGAUUAGAUACCCCAGU
Molecule: ribosomal RNA, 230 nt
Filed under: uncultured bacterium
Lineage: Bacteria
Description: partial 16S ribosomal RNA
Rfam family: Bacterial small subunit ribosomal RNA
Source: RNAcentral